Molecule: transfer RNA, 73 nt
Filed under: Acidithrix ferrooxidans
Lineage: Bacteria; Bacillati; Actinomycetota; Acidimicrobiia; Acidimicrobiales; Acidimicrobiaceae
Also listed under: 2 other names
Rfam family: tRNA
About the family: Transfer RNA (tRNA) molecules are approximately 80 nucleotides in length. Their secondary structure includes four short double-helical elements and three loops (D, anti-codon, and T loops). Further hydrogen bonds mediate the characteristic L-shaped molecular structure. tRNAs have two regions of fundamental functional importance: the anti-codon, which is responsible for specific mRNA codon recognition, and the 3' end, to which the tRNAs corresponding amino acid is attached (by aminoacyl-tRNA synthetases). tRNAs cope with the degeneracy of the genetic code in two manners: having more than one tRNA (with a specific anti-codon) for a particular amino acid; and 'wobble' base-pairing, i.e. permitting non-standard base-pairing at the 3rd anti-codon position.
Source: Rfam by way of RNAcentral
GGGGGUGUAGCUCAGCUGGAAGAGCAUUUGACUGGCAGUCAAAAGGUCGUGGGUUCGAGCCCCAUCACCUCCA